GCGUAACGCGUGGGAAUCUGCCCUUCGGUUCGGAAUAACAGUGGGAAACUAACUGCUAAUACCGGAUAAUGACGUAAGUCCAAAGAUUUAUCGCCGAAGGAUGAGCCCGCGUAGGAUUAGCUAGUUGGUGGGGUAAAAGCUCACCAAGGCGACGAUCCUUAGCUGGUCUGAGAGGAUGAUCAGCCACACUGGGACUGAGACACGGCCCAG
This 210-nucleotide ribosomal RNA is filed under the name uncultured bacterium. RNAcentral describes it as "partial 16S ribosomal RNA". It matches the Rfam family "Bacterial small subunit ribosomal RNA", at positions 108 to 334 of the family's 1533-position model. The record is from RNAcentral.